GCAUGUCUAUUUUUAGUUCCACCCCAAAGCUUGGCUGAUUGGCACAAUCACAGAAGCGCUAUGGUGUUAUACCAGCUCAGAACGAAUAAAUGACUUGGCAGGAAGCGUUUGUCAAAUCAUACCGUAAGACUGGAUUUGGCGCAAUCACCUUCGUGUAGGGUGGUGACUGAGAAGAGGAAACUUCAGUCACUCUCCUGUUUCUUGGUCGCCAGAACAGCCCUGAGCCAUCUGGCCCUAAGAUAACAGACUGUCAGCCGGACCUAGACAUCUGAGACACAGACGGAGUGCGGAGCUGAGACCCACACACCAGCCGACCCAGUGAAUGAACGUUACAUCCUAUCAUUCCCCAGACAGCAAACAGAUGCACCAAGUGGCCGUGGACCCUCACACUCGGGCUCUCCUGGGGAAAAUCAGCUUACACACUGCAGGGUAUUUUACAACCACCUGAAGGCAGAAAUGCAUUGUCCUGCAGCAAUAAUGAGUAUCUGUGUGAUUGGGUUGCAG
Long non-coding RNA from Brienomyrus brachyistius, 504 nucleotides. RefSeq lists it as uncharacterized. NCBI's taxonomy places the organism in Eukaryota, Metazoa, Chordata, Actinopteri, Osteoglossiformes, Mormyridae. The record is from RefSeq and is a predicted model, not a curated record. The transcript is spliced from 4 exons.